Molecule: long non-coding RNA, 3510 nt
Organism: Rattus norvegicus (Norway rat)
Lineage: Eukaryota; Metazoa; Chordata; Mammalia; Rodentia; Muridae
Source: RefSeq, a predicted model, not a curated record
CUCUUAACUGCUGAGCCAUCUCUCCAGCCUUGGAAUGACUUUUAAAAAUAGAAAGCAAAUGUUGAUGAACAGGGAGAGAAGACUGGGACCCUUGCUUCCUGAUGCUGGCAGUUUAAAGUGGAGCCAUUGCUAUGGGAAACACUGACUGCUCUGCUAACCGGGGUUAGCAAGGGACCAGGUGGUGCCCACUUCUAGAUGCACUCAAACUGAGAGCAAGCACUGAAGUGUGUGCAGCCCCGAGUUCAUAGCAACACCAUCCAUGGGGACGCCAUCCAAGUGUCACGGACAGACAGAUGGGCAAAGAAGAUGUGGCAUAUCCCAACCAUAAUCCAGUAUUCCUUCUGAAAAAGUAAUGAGACUCAGACACGUGCUACAAUCUGUUUUGAUGCAAUCUCUACAAGAGACUCCAGGUACCAUAUGAUAGACAGCCUACCGGGCUCUCUGGAGCUACCAGAUAAAGUCACGUGUCCCAAGAUAUCCGUGAACCAGCUAUGCAGAACGUCCUCGGACUUCAAAUCUUCCUCUGAGUGCUUGGAUUACAAGAGUGUGCCAUCCUGGCUGUUUUGCAGGAAUGGGGCUCUAAGACAGAGCCUUGUGUGCUAAAACCUCAGCCCCUGUUAACAUUUUCCUGACUUGCCUUGGUUUUUACUUAAGUCAUGGAUUUGUUGUUUUAAAGGUUAAUUUUUAAAUUGUGUGCAUAUGUGUCAGGAAAUACACGAAAAUGUGUGCGAAGGUGCUCCGAGUCUAGAAAGGGAUGAUCUAGUCCCCUGGAGCUGGAGUUACAGUUGUGAGUUCCACAGUGUAGGGGCUGGGAGCCCAACUGUGGACCUCUAUAGAGGAGCUGCUCCAUCUCUCUGGCCUUCGAUUUUUUUUUUUUAAGAGAAAAUGGAUGCCGGGUGUGGUGGGUGUACGCCUUUACUCCCAGGCCUCGGGAUGCAGAGGCAAGCAGAUCUCUGAGUGUGAGGCCAGCCUGGUCUACAGAGCAAGUUCCAGAACAUCCAGAAAUACACAAAGACACCUAUCUCAAAAAAAAAAAAAAAAAAACAAACCAAAUAAACAAAAAGGAGUAAAUUAAUAAAGCUAUUUUUCAAAAAAUCCCAGUUCUAAAAAGUUAACGACAGAACACACACACACUACACACACACUACACACACACACACACACACACACACACACACACACACACACAGUUUGAAUAAGAAAUGCCUUGAAUAGGCUCACGUAUAUGUGUGUGUAUGUGUACAUGGAUGUGCUCAUGUGUGUAUGUGUGUGUGUGUAUGUACAUGUACAAGUACACAUGUGUAUUGGUUGCUUUUGUCUUUUGAGGCAGACUAUAAUGUUACCCUGAUUGGCUUAGAACUCAUUAUGUAGACCAGGCCGGUAGUGAACUCAUAGAGAUCCUCCUGCUUCUGUCUCCCAAGUUCUGAUAUGAGAGUACUGACGAAUACUUGAUACCAAGUACUGACACUGCCCCCAGCAAUAGUCGAACAUUUGGUUCUCAGUGAAUUGUACUGUUUGGCAAGGUUUAGAUGUGGCCUUGUUGGAGUAAGAGUGUCACUGUAAAACGUCUUGCUUUUUUAAAAAAAGAUUUUUUAUCUGUGUAUUUUACAUAUAUGAGUCUGCAUGUACAUCUGCAUACCAGAAGGUGGCAUCGGCUGUGAGCUGACAUGUGGGUCCUGGGAAUUGAACUCAGGAUCUUCAGAAGAGCAGUGAGGGCUCUUAAACACUGAGCUAUCUCUCCAGCCCUGAACUCUUGCUACUUUUGUUCUCUCCUUCUCUCCCCCUCUCCCUGCUUUGAGCUUUUACCUGCCACCAGGAUUCCUUGCCAUGGUGAACUUACCCCACUGGAAUCGUAAGUUCAAACAAACUUUCUUCUAUAAGUUGCCUCAGUUGUGGUGUGUGGGUUGAUGUCAUUAUGCAUGUGAAGGCAGAUAAGAUAAAAUGGGGUCUGUCAUUGGACAAGAAGGAAAGGAGGUGGGAACAGAGGUUUUGGAAGGGAGCGAGAGGCAGAGAGAGGGGAGUGAGGAGGAAGGAGCUGAGAGAACAUGGCAGCAGAUGUUAAGAUGCUUCUCUGCGCAUAGGUACUGGUUUUAUGACUAUUUUUAAGGGACGGGUGUGUACAGGAUGUUGUAUUGUCUAGAUGGGCAAAUUAUAUCAUAUUGAUUGGAUCAGAGGUUACUGUGUGGUGUGUUCUUUCAUGUGGCGACUUUACUGAGUUGAAGAGAGUACAUGUUGGCGGGACACACCAGGCUGCCAUGGAACUGGGAUGUGUAUGUCUGGCGUGGCAACAACCCUCCCUGGGAACUGGAUGGGUAGGUAGAGAGAUUGCCACGGGCUCAGAGAGUAGCGGUCAGCAGUGUGGGAUGGGAUGGAGCUGUGACUGAGGGCAGCGUGCCACGACUCGUGGACCACCCAGAUCAGAGGGAGCUGGGAGAGAAAGAGUGGAACGGUCAGUACGUGUGGGAACCAUUCUGCCCUUUUUUAUUUUUUACCUCAGCGCUGGUGCCCUAUUACGGCAACAGGAAAGUAACCUUUGUACACACUUAAGCUUCUGAGCCCCGUGCUACUUGAUAACUGGUACAGGUCGUAAACAUCCUUUUCCUCAUUUUUGAGGGAUCUGCGUAAGCAAGGUCACGGUGAGCUGUUCUUCAUCAGCCAUAGAAAUUCAGGGAGGAGCAAAAGGCACACAUCAUCUACUCACAACACUUUCACUGGUUGAUGGAGCACUGGUCAACCAUCUGUUACCAUAACAACCUCUGAGAUCGUCAAGUUGGAGAGACAAGAAGUUUAGCUUGGCUCACAGUUUUAAAUCUCCCACCAUCCCCUUCAGGGGAUUUCCGAAAUGACAGAAGACUGCCCACUAGGUCCACCUCCUGAUGUGUCUACUACCUCCCCAUAGGGCCAAGAGAACAAGUCUUUAAUGCAUAGACCUUUGGGGGACACUCUAGAACCAAACUACAGUACCUGCGUGCCCACAGUGUUCUGGUUCAAGGACUCCUAGGCCUACCAGGAUGUUUGAAUCUCCAUAUAAAAUAGUGCAGGACCUGCAACCUGUGCAUAACCCCCUAUAGACCCGACACCAUUUUAUCAAAUGCCUUGAUAUAGUGUACUGUUCACCCCAGGGACGGAACUGUCCCCUUUAGUUCUUUACAGAGUAAGGAGGAGAAAACGAUCUGUUUGUAUUCAGUACUAUGCAAAAUACUUAAAAAAAUUUAUUUAUUAUAUAUAAGUACACUGUAGCUGUCUUCAGACACCAGAAGAGGACAUUGGAUUCCAUUACAGAUGUUUGUGAGCCAACAUGUUGUUGCUGGGAAUUGAACUCAGGACCUCUGGAAGAGCAGUCAGUGCUCUUAACCACUGAGCCAUCUCUCAAGCCCCACAAAAUACUUUCAAAAUCUGCUUGGCUGCAUUGUGGGUACGUGGACACGGUGAGCACCACGGGGCGACUGUAUUGUUAGUAUUGUUAAUGCAUAUCUGGUAUCUGGAAAAAUAAAGGUUUCUGGUGCUGUG